UGGGGUGUAGCUCAGUGGUAGAGCUCAUACCUGCCAUGCUUGGUGCCUUGGGUUAAAUCUCCAGCACUCAAA
Molecule: transfer RNA, 72 nt
Filed under: Fukomys damarensis (Damara mole-rat)
Lineage: Eukaryota; Metazoa; Chordata; Mammalia; Rodentia; Bathyergidae
Rfam family: tRNA
About the family: Transfer RNA (tRNA) molecules are approximately 80 nucleotides in length. Their secondary structure includes four short double-helical elements and three loops (D, anti-codon, and T loops). Further hydrogen bonds mediate the characteristic L-shaped molecular structure. tRNAs have two regions of fundamental functional importance: the anti-codon, which is responsible for specific mRNA codon recognition, and the 3' end, to which the tRNAs corresponding amino acid is attached (by aminoacyl-tRNA synthetases). tRNAs cope with the degeneracy of the genetic code in two manners: having more than one tRNA (with a specific anti-codon) for a particular amino acid; and 'wobble' base-pairing, i.e. permitting non-standard base-pairing at the 3rd anti-codon position.
Source: Rfam by way of RNAcentral